This 67-nucleotide transfer RNA is filed under the name Homogryllacris anelytra. RNAcentral describes it as "tRNA-Met". Lineage: Eukaryota; Metazoa; Arthropoda; Insecta; Orthoptera; Gryllacrididae. The record is from RNAcentral.
AAAAAGGUAAGCUAAAUAAGCUAAUGGGUUCAUACCCCACUUAUAGAGAUUAAUCCUCUUCUUUUUA